This 30570-nucleotide long non-coding RNA is filed under the name Gossypium barbadense (sea-island cotton). RNAcentral describes it as "long non-coding RNA (GBAR_LNC009428)". Lineage: Eukaryota; Viridiplantae; Streptophyta; Magnoliopsida; Malvales; Malvaceae. The record is from RNAcentral.
CUACCCUAGCACGCGAAACGUCUGCCGCUCUGGCAUGUUUUUUAGGUUUUCUGUCUUUUGUCUUCUUGUUGGAUAGGCUGAGUUACGGCGGCUACUUCGCUCUUUAGUUCUUUUGAAUCAUCACGUGGAUCUCUGGUCUUCUACUUUCUUCUGCAACAAAUGGAAACUAGGUUAGCAGGGUUAACAUUAAAUGAAGAUGAAGAAGUAGUCUUACAAAUUCAGGAUGAGUCGCUCUCAGGUGAAGAGAAGGAAGUUUUUAGGUUAGUAGGUUGUUUCUUAACAGCUAGUGUCAUUCACUUCCUAGCAAUGAAAAGUACUAUGGCCAAUCUUUGGCAUCCCGUGCGGGGUGUUCAAAUUCGGGAUCUAGGAGAUAAGCAUUUCUUGUUCCAAUUUUAUCAUGUUAUGGAUAUGGAAAGGGUCUUGAAAGGGGCACCUCGGACUUUUAAUAAUCACCUAUUGAUGCUACAUAAGUUACAAUGGGAGGAGGAUCCUUUACAAGUGCCUUUAUUUUUUACGCCUUUUUGGGUGCAGAUUUAUGAUGUCCCUAUUGGACUAUUUUCUAAAAAUCUGGCAGUGCAGUUGGGUAAUUUUGUGGGGAGUUUCCUUGAGUAUAAUGAAUCGAAUUUGGGGAAAGAAAAUAGAAACUAUAUGCGAGUAAGAGUCCAGAUUGAUGUUAGACGACCAUUGAAAAAGAAAAAAUAAAUUAUGUAUCGAGGAAGUUGCACAUUUGUGAAAUUCAAAUAUGAAAGAUUAUCUCUAUUUUGUUUUUACUGUGGACGUUUGGGGCAUAGUGACUCAUAUUGUGAAGGAAAGAUGGCAUUGGGUGUGGAAGUUGCUGAGAUGGGAUGAGAUUUAUCACUGAGAGCUCAAUCUAGGAGGGUUCUAUCCAUGAACAGUGUUUGGUUGAGGGAAAAGGGUGAAGAGCGAACAAAAGUGAAUAAGGAUGGUAAUCAUAUGAAAGGAAUUUUUUCAUGGGCAGCAGGAAAUAAAAGUCAUGGGUGUGGGCGGUCCAUUGAUCCAAUUUUGGGAAUUAGUCUAGAAAGUAAUACGCCAUUCCUAAAUUCGCAUGGAGAAAAGCUAAUAACUAUUCCAGUGCUCACUGAAAUGGAACAUGAUUUGGAAGAAGGGAUAAUUAUUGGGGAGGAAGGAAAUAAGAGAGCUAGAGGUGAGCUAGGGGUACCAAUAGAGCAGGGGGAGAUCAAUAUUCCAGCAGUAAGAAACCGGAGAGUAAGAGAGGUCAACCAUUUAUUAUCAGCGGCUGCCAAGAAGCAAGCCGACCGAAUGCAAUGAAAAUCUUAAGUUGGAAUGUUCGUGGGUUAGGGAGCCCACGGACUAUACGUAGACUUCGGCAUAUGUUGAAGAUACAAAAUCCCCAAAUAGUCCUUUUUAUGUAGACAAAAUUAUGCAAGAGUCAAAUGGAGAGAGUUCGUUAUCGGUGCGGUUAUAUACAUGGGAUUGAAGUUGAUCCGGAGGGUACUAAAGGAGGGUUAUGUUUGGCAUGGAGAAACGAGAUUAGUGUCACACUUCACAGUUUUUCCAAAAGACAUGUUGAUGUUAUGAUAGAUGACAGUGAAGUAAGAGGAAAAUAGUGAUUUACGGGUUUCUAUGGAUCCCCUUAUACACAAGAUCGAGCUGAUUCUUGGGCUGUUUUGAGGAAUUUAUUUACUAGCGAGCAAAUCCCUUGGUUGGUAUGUGGGGAUUUCAAUGAAAUCAUGUACGGUUUUGAAAAGAAAGGAGAGCUUCCGCGAGAUGAAAGGAGAAUGGAAACUUUUCAUAGUACAUUGACGGAUUGUCAGUUGAUGGAUGUAGGAUAUUCAGGCAAUUGAUUCACAUGGGAAAGGGGAAAUUUACCUGAAACAAAUAUCCAAGAACGUUUAAAUAGAGGAGUUGCAAAUGGAGAAUGGAUGAAUCUGUUUAGGGAGGCUAAGAUCUCUCAUCUUGUUCACUCUUUUUCUGAUCAUUGCCCCCUUUUAAUUAAUACGGGGAAAGUUGACAAAUUGUUGAAUAAGAAAUUGUUUAAGUUUGAAGCCUGGUGGAUUAUGGAGGAUUUCUUUGAACAAAAGGUCAAAAAUAUUUGGGAGUCGUCUUCAGGAAAUUUGCUGGAAAAACUAGAUACGUUAAAAGAAGGCUUGGUCAGGUGGGCGGGGAAAAUUCGAAUUGCUAGAAGGGGAUGCAAGGAUUUGCUUAUUGCAAGGCUAUCAGAAUUGGCAGAGGCUGAUCGAGACGAUGUUAACUUGGCAGAGACAAUUGACGUGAAGAUUCAACUGAACUUAGAAAUUGAUAAAGAUGAACGUUAUUGGGAGCAGAGAGCCCGUGUAAACUGGUUAAAAUUCGGUGAUAGAAACACAACAUUUUUUCAUAGCCAUGCCUCGCAGCGACGUAGAAGAAACUAAUUCAAAAAUUGAAAGAUGUUGAAGGGAAUGAAAAUGAAGCAAUUUAGGAAAUGGAAAGGAUAGCACGGUCAUAUUUCCAAAAUCUUUUUACAUCAGAAGCAAGAGGAAGAGAUCAUCAUGUGUUGUCAGGAAUAGAUAAAUGCAUUACAGAGGAGGAUAACCAAAAGCUUACAGCUCCGCACUUACCAGAAGAGAUCCGAGAAGUAGUGUUUGCGAUGAGACCCACAAAAGCCCCAGGGGAGGAUGGUUUUCCGACUUUAUUUUACCAAAAGUGCUGGUACGUUGUUGGAAAUGAAGUAAUUAUUUUUUGUCUACAGCUUCUUAAUGAAGGUAAGGAGAUCAAACAUAUUAAUCAUACUCAUAUAGUACUCAUUCCAAAAGUAGCCAGUCUGUUUGAUAUGAAACAAUUUAGGUAGAUGAAUUUGUGCAAUGUGAUUUAUAAAAUUGUUGCAAAAGCUAUUGCUAACCGGCUCAGGAGAGUAAUUGAGAAAUGCAUUGAUUUGGCCCAAAGUGCUUUCGUACCAGAAAUAUUUAUAUCAGACAAUAUACUAUUGGCUUACGAAAUUCUUCAUACGCUUAACAUGAAGAGGUAGGGGAAAAAUGCUUUAUGGCUACGAAGCUUGACAUGAGCAAGACCUAUAAUAGAGUUGAAUGGAACUUCAUCAACAAUAUAAUGAUCAAAAUGGGGUUUAAUAGAAACUGGGUUGAUACUAUUAUGAAGUGCUUAACUUCUGUAUCUUAUUCAGUUGUGGUGAAUGGAUACGUAGGAGACAGAUUCCAACCAGAACGAGGACUUCGCCAAAGAGAUCUAUUGAGUCCGUUUCUCUUCCUCAUAUGUGGCAAAGGCUUAUCUAGUUUAAUACGUCUUGCAGCUAAAGAUGAGGCAUUAAAAUGUGUUAAAGUUAGCAGAAGUGGUCCGCAGAUUUCGCACUUGCUAUUUGCAGAUGAUUGUAUUUUGUUUAGUGAGGCGACUAGCAGAGGGGCCAGUAUACUGUAGGAAAUUUUAAGGGAAUAUAGGGGUUGCUCGGGUCAAUGUGUCAAUUUUGAUAAAUCUACGGUGUUCUUUAGUAAAAACACAACAGAGGAGGACAAGGGAGCGGUUGUACAAAUAUUAGGGGUCUGGAGCUCAAAUGAUCCAGAGCGUUAUCUCAGGUUGCUUAAUAUGGUAGGAAGGAAGAAGAGGGAGUCGUUCUAGAAUCUGAAGGACCGGAUAAAGAAGAAAAUUGACAAUUAGAGUCGUUCCAGAAUCUAAAGGAUCGGAUAAAUAAGAAAAUUGACAAUUGGAGUACUAGGCACCUAUCUCAAGGGAGAAAGGAAGUAUUUAUCAAGGCUGCUCUCCAAGCCAUACCUAAUUUUUCAAUGGCGUGUUUUUUAUUACCGAAAUCGUUAUAUUUGGAAUUAGAAAACAUCAUAGCUACUUUAUGGUGGCAAAAAAGUCCUUGCAAAAGAGGAAUUCAUUGGAGUGCGUGGAGAAACUUGUGUUUUUUAAACGAGAGAGGUCUUGGAUUUCAAAAUCUUUGCCAAUUUAAUAUAGCGCUAAUAGCUAAACAAGGUUGGCGACUUCUUUUUUAUCCCCAUUCAUUAUUAGCAAGGGUCUUCAAAGCCAAAUAUUAUCCGUAUUCAGAUUUUGUAAAUGAUAGAUUAGGUGAUCUUCCUUCAUUUACUUGGAAAAGUGUCUGGGCUACUAAGCGGUUGUUACAGGACGGGCUGUGUUGGAGAGUUGGUCAUGGAACCAGAAUAUCUGUAUGGGAUGAUUGCUGGAUUCCGGGAGUUGAUCCAAGAAGAUGGGAUACCAGAAAUGAUAAUGAUGUCAAGUUAGUGGCGAAUUUAAUUGAAGAUAUAAACAGAAUAUAGAAGACCAAAUUAAUUAAUAAUACCUUUCCAGCAGAUGUUGCUCAAAAAAUUCUGCGGAUACCCCUGGCGAAAACUCCUCAUGAGGAUUUUCAAGCAUGGAAAGGAGAGCAAUCUGGUGAAUUUUCAGUAAGAAGCGCCUACAAACUAUUACAAGAUGCCCAAUUGGAUCCUAAAGCUAAUUUAAUACAGACCGAUAUAAAGGAUUUCUACAAUAAGCUAUGGAAUCUACAGCUGCCUAACAAGAUUGUAAUAACAACAUGGAGAAUAUCUUGGAACUACAUCUCAACUCUAGCUAAUCUAAAAUAUAAACGGGUGACUAAUAACGUGACAUGUCCUCGCUGUGGAAGGGAGGAAGAAGAUAUCACCCAUAUCUUUCGGUAUUGUUUUGUGGCAAUCAAACAUGGCAAUUGUUAGACCAGGUGUGGAUCAGUGAAAGUAUGACUCAAGGAUUCUAGGAGUGGCUUACCUGGAUAUUUAGAUUGAGUACUUCUGAAUAGUGCAAGAUCUUUUGUUGUGGCUUGUGGUUUAUUUGGAGCUCAAGGAAUAAAUUCAUAAUGAACAGAAAGCAGAGACAGGAAGGGAGUUAUCUCUCAAAGUUUGAAAGUACAUAGCUGAACUUGAAGGGUUGAGGAUGAGGGAAAGUACCUUAAACACAAGUAGUAGUCACAAGCAUCGAGAAGGUUACACUAGAAUGACGAUCCAGUUUGAUGCAGCCUUUGAUAACAGGAACUUUAAGUCAGCAUUUGGUCUUGUGGUUUGGGGCGAAAGAGGAAGACUCAUGGCGAAGAAGACUGUUCUAUACAGGAAUGUUCAGUCACCAUUUGCUGCUGAAGCCCUGGCAGGUUUACAGGUGAUACAACUAGGAUGUGAAAUGGAUUGUCCCUUAGUGACGGUUAUAGGGGACUCUCGAACAAUCAUCAAGAAGUGCCAAGAAAUGAAGAGAGAUAAAUCAGUCACAUGAGCGAUUAUUAACGACAUUCAUAGUAAGAUGACUAGAUUUGAAGACCUUAGAUUCCAAUUUAUACACAGAACAGAGAAUAUUUUUGCUCAUAAGAUUGCAGAAGAAGCGCUAAAGAAGGAAGAAGAAACAUACCUGAUUAAAAGGAGAGGCGGUUCUCCGAAAGGGUGGUGGAGAAAAGAUCUAGAUUGAAGAGCCUAAUGGAAGAAGGAAAUGAUGUGGGUAGCAGGAAAUGCAGCUAUGAAACGGCUACCAAAAUGAACAGAUGGGACAGACGAUGGGACAAGACUAUGGAAAUAGAGUCUAGCUGUUAUUGUGUCGAUUAGCAUUAAUGAGUUAGGUUUUCUUUUUUGCAGUAAUUAGUUUUUGGCGUUUUUUCCAAAGUUGAUUUUAAAUUCGUAUUUGAUUUUUAUAGUUAGCAGGCUGAAGAUGUGUUUUCAGUCUGAUAAGUCUAAGCCCAGAUUGUGACCCAAUGUGGGUUUUUCUUCUAAUUAAUAAAAGCUAAUCGACUUUCUUCAAAAAAAAUUUAAAAUUUUAAUAUUGAAAAAAAUGUAGAACUUUAGGUAACGGGGUAAACAAGUACAAUUUGAAAUUUUUUUAAUACAUUAUUUUAGUUACUGUUGUUUUCUACUUUAAUCCUUAAUAUUUUUUUACCUCGAUCAAUACUUAAAAAAUAAUAUUUAUUGAGUGGUCUAAAUGAAAAAAGACCUAGAAAUUGAGUGACUAAAAUAAAAAUAUAACAUGAUGUGGCAUAUACAAUUAUCUGUCAUUAGAGAUUUAACGCUUAUGUGAUUAAAUUGAAAAUGCCUUAAAAUUUGAGUAACAAAAUUACAAGAAUUUCAUCUUAAAUAACUAAAAUAAAAACAUCCAAAAAUUGAGUUACUAACUAAAUAAUAUACCUUAUAAAUAAAUAUAUUUUCAUCCAUAUCCAAGAUAACAUCUUUUCACUAAAACUAUCAACAUUAGAAAACUCAAAUAUUUACUUUGGAAUUUGGAUCAUAGCCUACUAUUUUUAAAGAAAAUAAUGUUUGUUUAAUAAAUAUCUAAUUAUGGAUAUAGAGGUAUUACAUUUUUUUUUGAAACUAAAAUUCAGAUUGGGCUUUAUUGAAGAAACUUAAUAAGUACAAUGUAUAAAAAUAAAGAAGCAAACAAAAAAUAAAUGAGCCCAGCUAUAGAACUUAACCCAAAAACAAUAGUAACGUGAAAACAGAAACCAAGUGCAAAAACCAGAAAAAGGCCUAAAAAUAAGAUUCUAGCUUGUGAAAAAAUCAAAAAAACAAUCAGAUCUCUUUAGAAGCGUAUUAAUUACGCCUUUUACUUGUCCAAUCAGAAAUGAACGGUUGCGUCUUGUCCCCUAAUCUGACAUUUCUUUCUCAAGACUCUUCCAUAUUCCCAAGAGGAGCGUUUGCCAUCAAAUCUGUGGGUAUCCCGCUUCAAAACUCCCAUUUUUCACUUACUUCCUUCCAUUUUCAAUCUGUUUCUCUCACUCUAUCCCUCUCCGCUUACUUCUCUACCGAAUCUGGAACGCUUCCUACCAGGUAAACUUCUUCAUUAUUCUUCAGCAUUUCAUUUGCUAAAUAAUGCACUAAACUGUUUGCUAAUCGUGGGAUGUUUUCAAAUAUGCACUCCUUAAACUUUAACAAAAGCUGAUGAGUAUCAUGAAUAUAAGCACCUACCAAGGACUUAUCUGGUCUUUUCUCUCUGCACUUUUUUAUUAUUGACAAGGAAUCUCCCUCAAUAAUGAUUUUCACCAUUGUAUGUCAAUACCUAUCUGGGUCGCUACCCGACACGCAAGUGCCUGAGUAGCCAAGGCAGAAACAACUCGUUGCUGGAUCACCGAACACGAUAAGAGAACACCUCCUUCACUAUUUCUUGCCACAACUAUUGUUACCGAUUGACAAGUUCUCGCUUCAUAUGUUGCAUCAAAAUUAAUUUUCACAACUUGUUCAGGUGGGCGCCUUCAUUUACAAGUAGCAAAAGAGUUUUUUGGGUUUCUUUUAUCAUUCUCGUCUAUUUCUGAUAUAUAGCUGUCGACAAAACUUACUAUUUCUUUUCUAGAUUUGCUAGCCUUCUUAUGCACUCUAGCGUUCCUGUCUCCCCAAAUGGCCCAUAAUACACAGCAAAAAAGUCUACACUGAGAUAGCGAACUUUGCGAAAAGACCCAGGUUAGCCAUUGUAUAAACCCCAAAUGGGUAUCUUGUAUAUAAAAUUGGCUUGAUAGCUCUCUCCAAACUGAAAUUGAAACAGGGCAUGCACGAAAAAGAUGGUCCAUAUUCUCUGAUCCACUUCCACACUGAGGGCAUAUAGAUGUGUUCGUUAACUUUCUUUGUAACAUGUUAACUCGUGUAGGUAGAUAGUUCCACAAUAUUUUUCAGACUAUAAUUUUUACUUUAGAAGGUAGAUUGAGUAGCUAUAGUUUUUUUAUAGAAUUCUUUACAAUCGGCCUGUAAAGCGUAAGCUGUAGGAUCUCCUUCGAUGCUUUGUAAUAGUUUAUAGGCGCUGCGUACUGUGGCCCGACGCCUCACCACUCCAAACUCGAAAAUCAUCGUGGGGAUCCUCUGCCAACGGGAUACAGAGAAUCUUCUCAGCUACUUCCUCCGAAAAGGUAAGACUCUAUCAGCUCUUUAUUCCAUAUUCUGUUGCUUGGUUCAAUUAACUCAGCAACUUUAAAACCGUUCAAAUUAUUAAUUAGAGACGACAAUCUGGUAUUUUUUCACCUGGCAUCCAAAAUUCAUUAAGAGCAGAAAUGUUCGUACCCCUACCUACAUUCCAACAUAAUCCCUCUUCUAAAAUACCUCUUGUAGCCCAAAUACUCUUCCAUGUAUACGAACUGUUAUUCCCCGGCCGCGAAUCUAAAAAACUCACAUUUGGAAAAUAUUUGGCUUUUAAAACUUUAGCAACUAAAGAAUUUGGAUUAUUUAAAAUUCGCCACCCAUUCUUAGCUAGAAGUGCUACAUUAAAUUGAGCCAUGCUCUUAAAACCCAAACCACCCUCAUCCUUAGACCGACACAUAUACUUCCACUGACACUAAUGAAUCCCUCAUUUCCCAUAUCCUUUUUGCCACCAAAAUUUCACAAAUGUUCUUUCUAGUCCUCGACAAAAAGAGUUUGGUAAAAGGAAACAAGACAUAGCAUAGAUUGGAAUAGCCUGAAGCAUCGACUUUAUAAAGACUUCCUUACCUCCUUGUGAUAAUAAUCUGGUACUCCACCCUUCAAUUUGAGUAUAAACCUUCUCUUUGAGAUACUGAAAAGACUCCUUCUGUCUGUCGACCACAUUAGGAAGACCUAAAUACUUUUCCAGGUUUGUUGAGCUUCGAACCCUAAAUAUUUUCAAGACUACUAUCUUCUGUUCUUCUGUAGUGUUCAAGCUGUAGAAGAUUGUUGAUUUAUCAAAAUUAACACAUUGGCCUGAACACUUUUCAUACUCUUUCAAAAUUCCUUUUAACACCAUUGCUCCGCUACCUGAUGCUUCAUCGAAUAAAAAACAAUCAUCUGCAAAGAGUAAAUGUGAAAUUUUUGGGCCUCUUUUACUAGCUUUUACUCUUCUUAGUAGCCCCUCCUUCACUGCCAGUUGUAUCAAAGAUGAUAGUCCCUCACUACAAAGUAGAAAAAGAAAAGGACUUAAAGGAUCGCAUUGCCUCAAACCCCUAGUCGAUUGAAAAAGUCUUCCCCUCCCUCUAUUUGUAUUAACUGCAUAAGUCGUCGUGGUAAUGUAUUUCAUAAUUAGCUCCACCCAUUCUUUUGCAAAACCCAUUCGUAGCAUAACUUGCUUAAGAAAACCCCAUUUAACCUUGCCAUAAGUUUUGCUCAUAUCCAGCUUCACAAUUAUGUAUCAUUUUUUCCUUGUACGCUUUUGUCGAAAAGUAUGUAGAAUUUCAUAAGCUAAAAGCACAUUAUCAGAAAUUAAUCUCCCUGGGAUAAAAGCACUUUGGGCCACAUCAAUGUAUCUUCCAAAAACUACUUGAAGCUGAUUUGCAAUUAUCUUCGCCACAACCUUGUAGAGAACUGAACAUAAACUAACUGGUCUAAAAUUAGCUAGCCUUGUUGGAUUAGAGGUUUUUGGGAUCUACACAAUAUCCCUUUGGUUGAAAGAGCCCUUUGGUUGAAAGAGCCGAAACUAUAAUCAUUAUUUAAAAUUUCCAAAAAAAAGUUUGACACAUCUUCACCUUUAAUGUGCUAAUAUCUCUGAAAGAAAAGUGUUGGAAAUCCAUCAGAUCUCGAUGCUUUGGUAGGUCUCACUCCUUUUAAAGCUGUAAACACUUCUUCUUCUGUAAAAUUUGAUAAUAAAACAGAAUUAAUAUCUGGAGAAAUUUUAUUUUCAAUACCCGAUAGGAGAUAAGAAAGAUCCCUAACUCCACUAGAUGUGAACAUCUUCUGGAAAAAUAAAGUAGCAACUUCAUUGAUCUUUCUUACUUCAAUAGCCUAUCCACCUCCAUCUAAUUCCAACUUAGAUAUAGUAUUGAUGCAUCUUUGAAAAGAGGCAAAUCUAUGAAAGAAAGUUGUAUUCUUGUCCCCUGCUUUCAACCAAUUUGUCAUUGCCCUUUGUUCCCAGUAAGUUUCAUCUUUAUCUAUUUCCAUAUUCAAAUGAAUCUUAGUAUCAAAAAUUUUUUCCAUUGUUUCAUCAAGUCUUCUCCUUCGCCAGUAGCAUCUCCAAUUCCUUCAUGGGCUUUUGCUUAAAUCCCUCUUGCCCUUUCUUAAUUAGUCUCGCCAAUACUAAUAAAUCUGCUUGUAAUCUUUUGAUUUUCUCCUCUAGUGAUCCUGUUGUUGUUCCCAUGAUGCUUUAACUUCUUUCUCAAGCGUCUCCUCCAUGAUCCAUCAUGCCUCAAACUUAAAUGUUGGACUUCCCACAUAAGCAUUAUAAUUUUUUGUGUUUAGAAGAAAUGGAAAAUGAUCAGACAUCGAAUGGGGUAGAUAUUGAAUGUUACCUGUUGGAAAAAGAAACCUUCAUUUAGCAUUUACAACUCCCUUAUCAAGUCUCUCUCUAAUAAUUAUCUCUAGAAAAUUUUUCCUUUCCCAAGUAAACAAGACCCUAAAAUAUCCCAAAUCUUUUAGUUGGCACUCUUCUAAAACCUCUCAAAAGACCUCCAUUCUUCUCUCCUCUCUUGGUAAACCCCCAUUUUUUUCAUAAGAAAACAUGAUCUCAUUAAAAUCACCACUUACUACCUAUGAAAGAUUCUGAUCUUGUCUAAGCUUCUUUAACAAAUUUCAUGAAGAAUUCUUUUGAGUACCAUAUGGUGAACCAUAGAACCCCGUGAAUCUCCACAUUUCACUAUCCUGUAUUUCUUUGACUGUUACAUCAAUGUGACUCCUAGAGUAACUUUUUAGUCAUACUUCAGUAUCUCAUUUCCUUGCAAGGCACACCCCACCACGCGAGCCCUCCACUUCAACAUCAAUUCCAUUCAAAAAACCACAACUCCUCCUAACUUUCUCCAAACGCGGCUUGUCAAGUUUUGUCUCUAUUAAGAAGACCAUAUGGGGAUUAUGAUGUUUUAGGUAAUAUCGCAGCCUUCUUAUAGCCCGUGGACUCCCUAACCCAUAGACGUUCUAACUUAUAAUUUUCAUUGUGUCUGGUCGGCAUGCCUCUUGGCAGCUGCCAAUCUUAAAAUUGUUGACGCAUCAAGUAACUCUGAAUUCUUUCAUCGUAUCUAUAAAACCAUCUUCACGAUCCUCUAAUCCUUCCUGUUUCAAACACUUAUUCCUAUCUUCAUAUGCAACCUUUGUGCCAUAGAAGUCAGUUUCUGCAUCUGGGGACUUCCUCUUCCUCGUGUUAUUUUUAGAUUUGUCUUGUCUUAUCGUGACCACUGGCUCAAUUCUUUUCCAUCUUUUUUUCCAAGGUUUAUAUUAUUGAUCUGCUGUUUCAUGCUAUCAUUCAAAUUCUCAUCUUCCUUGAUUAUCGGUCCCCUUGUUCCUCAAUUACCCCUCCAUUCCCAUCAGCCCCGUAUUCUCCUGUAACCCCCUAGUCUCGUUAUUCUCCUUUACCAAUACUUUUGUAAUAUUUACCAACAAAUAUGUACUUCCCAAAUAAGAACAUUGAACCCCCACCUUUUUUGAAAAACCAUUAAAUUCCAUACUUUCCUUUCUAAUUAAUUUUGAUUCUACUUUUAACGCCAACAUAUAUGAUGGAUCCUCACUAAUUUUACUAUUUUCUACAGGAAGUAUCUGACGACAAUCUUAAAACCCAUGCCCUAUUCUUCCACAUCCAAAACAAAACAUUGGUUACUUCUCGUACUUAAAAGAUACCCAUGAUUUAUUCAUAUUAUCAAUAGAGACAAAAACCUUGUUGAAGCGGUUUUUGCACAUCCAACUUAACCCUAAGAUGACAUGAAUCUUCAUUAAUUUUAGAUCGAAUAACCCCCCAAACGUGACACCGAUAGCAUGCAAUAGAUCUUUCUUAUUAAACUCUGGUAAGCAUGAAUCUAUUUUUAUCCAGAACAGUGAUAGUGUUAGCCGAUUUUGACUUCUAUCAAUCGGUUGGGUUGAUCUAUCGAACAAAAUAACACUUUUACGGAAUAGCCAUGGCCUUCCCUCCAGUAUUAUCUCUAGAUCUUCUUCCAAAUCGAACACUAUAAAAAAUAAAUUCUGCCCCACCAUCUGUAUUUCAAAUACUUUUCAUUUGUGCCCUAAAACUUUCUGGGUUAUAGAACUUCUCUGUCCAAAUAGUACAUCAAAAAGUAGGUUUUGUGCUUUGUACCACCAGCGAACUUUUGAUUGAUAGCUAAAUAAGUUCUUCUACGAGAAGAGAAAUCUCAUCCUUCCUCCUUCGAACGUCACCACCGCUUUCCUCCAUCCCAAGCUGCAGUAGAUAUUGCUUUCUCUAGGACUCUAGGCAAAGUACUCUUGAGACUCUUUAUCUCAUCUAUUUUUUUAAAAAAAUUUAAAAUCAAUUAAAAAAUAGAGGUAAUACAUUUUAAGGGUACUUUAAAUGUAUAAUAAAACAAUUUUUCAUUCUUAUAAAAAUAUUUGUGUUUAUUUAACAUAUAUAUAUAAAUAAAAGAAAUAAGGUAAGGUAGUAUCCUCUAAGAAAAAAAUUAAGAUAUAUAUAUACACACAUAUUAGUCUUAUGUUUCAUGUUAACUCAAGAGAUCUAGUUUGAUAACGUAACCUAUUUGUAGUUUGAUAACUCAAAAUUUAGGUCCUUCCAACAAAAUAACCAUCAUUUAUCGCCCAUAUAACCUAUAAUCUAAGUAAUGUCACAUUGCUCACUUAAUAUGGAUCUUGAAAAAAACUAAUUAACUUAUAACAAGGAGACACAUGUCCUUCGAGACUAAUCCAUAUAACUCCCUCACCCAAACACGACCAUAUUCACUCAUCCUACACAUAACAUCUCUAAUUUCCCACAAAUCUCUUCCAAAAAUACUAUUCACCACCAGUGGCGGAGUGUAGUGAAAACCCAAGGGGCCAUGGCCUCUCCAAAAUGGUAAAUUUUUAGUUUAGGCAUUUUAUAAUUUAUAAAAUUUUAAAUUAGUAAUGAAAAAUUUGUACUUUAACCCCCAAAAAAUGAUAAAAAUUUUAUUUAACCCUUUAAAAGUUAUGAAGAUAUAAACUAUUAAAAUGAUGAAAUUGUAUUUUUAUUAUCGUAAAAAUAUAUAAUUUAACUUCAACCCCCUCAAAAAAAUUUUCGAACUCCACCACUGAUCACCACCCAAACAAAUAAAUCAUCCUCAAUUUUACCAUGCUCUCCACUAAACCACAUCUUACUAUCCAUAAUAAUGUAAUAAGCCUAGAUAAAUCUAGGGGUGAGUAAAACUCGAUUGGACUUGAAAAUUUGAAUUUUGAGUUAAACGAAUCGAGUUAUUAAAGUCAACUCAAUUUUUUUUGAAUUUCGAGCUUGAAUCGAGUUUAAUUUCGGAUUUGAAUAAUUCAAAUAACUCGAAUAAACCGAAUACCAAACUAUAAUAUUUUACAUUUUUACCUCAAACCUCUAAACUUUUUACUUUCUUACUUUCCCCAAUACUUUUACUCUUUCUGUAACACCUCAUAAUCCUUUUCUGUUACCAGAAUAAGGUUACAGGGUAUUACUGGAUGUUUCAGAAUAAAUACGAAUAAUUAUAUAAUAAUGUAACAUAUAUAUCAUAAUUUAAUCAUAAUGUCCUAACCAAUGUACUAACAUAGGUAUUUUACAAAUACUUACUAACUCAAUUCAUAUAACUUCAUUCAAACCCAACCAAAUUUAAUACUAAAUAUCAAAAUUUUCAUAUAGUAACUUCAUUCAUACUUUAAUCAAAAUAUGUCAUUUUAUAACCUUAACACACAAUUUAUGUUUAAGUAUAUAAAGGGUUAAUACUAUUCUUUAACAUUUUAUACAACCAUUUUUCCAAAUGGCAUGCAUAUAACAACCUAGGUACAUGCCAGUACCAAAAAAAUGUACUUCACCAUAAUAAGUUCGAGAUUAGCUUUGGAUCCUGAUUCAACGAUCGAACUUUAACUUAUCCUGCGUACGAAAAAUAAAUCGUACGCUGAGUAUACACUCAGUGGUAUUUCUAUAAUCUGAAUACUUAUUAAAUAAGAAUUUUUAAUAUUUAUAUAUCUAAACAUGCAUAACAAAAAUCAUUCAACAAAUAAUCAAUUUCAUGACACAUCAUUUAUAACACUUUCAAUUCUCAUCUUCUACUAUUUUAAUCUCAUAAUUGAUAUUCAAAUAAUUUUUCUCAAUAGUAUACACAUAUCAUUUCACCCUAUCAAUAACCAUUUCAUGAACCCAUUGGUUCGUACAUUUCAAUUUCAUAACUUAAUUCAAUAUUUCAAUCCAAUUCAUGUUCAAAAUCAUCCAAUUUCAUUCAUAUUGUCAAUUUACUUAUUUACCCUUAUUAACAGGACUCGAACUUUGACCGAUACACGGAUCAAACCAAAACACACUAGUAUGACACCCAGUGUCUCAUCGGAUAAUUCGAAGUAAUAGAUUGACACCCAGUGUCUCAUCGGUCAUGCCAAAGUAAAUUGGUACCCAAUACCUCAUCGAAUUUAUCUGAAGCAAUAGUUUGGCACCCAGUAUCUCAUCGACUGGCGGUCGAAAUAAUCCCUGAACACUUUCAAUCCUAUGGCAUGCCAACUAUAUACGAAUCAGUCCAAUACAAAAUUCACAUAAAUCUCAAUUCAAUAUUUUCACAUUUCUUCAACAAGCAAUAAUUUCAUCAAUCACAAAUUCAUAUAAUCUCAUUUCAAUAUUAAGAUAAUAACAAACAACAUUCAACUUAAUUACUCACAAUACACAUUAAUUUAAAAUACAACAAAUAAAAAUUACUAAAUUUGAAUUAUAGAAAUACAAACCGUAAUUUCUAAGUUAUUCCUCGUUAACCUUCUUUUUUCCUUUCUUAGCCGAGGUCUCCGACUUAACAAUAGUUACGGAAUUUAAAACAAUUUUAAAAUCAUCAAUACAACAAAAUUUCACAUUAAAUAUUUCAAUUUAUAAACAAUUUUUGUCUAAAUUCCAAUUUUGUUCUUCAAUUAAAUCUAACCUUGUUUUCCCUACUAUUUUAUUCUUUAUUUUCAUUCAACUACCACUUAAAACUAAAUUUAACUCUCUAAUUUUCAUCAUAAAUCCCUAAUUUUAAUUUUUUUUCAAUUUAAUCCCUACCACUUAAAACUUAUGAUUUAUUAUACAAUUCAAUCAUUUUCUCAUUUCUAAGUUGAAAUUCUAUCAAUUUAACACCUAACUAUUCAAUUAAUUCAACAUGGACUACAUCUAAAAAUCCAUUAACUUUCAAAAUUUCAACAUAAAUCAAGUAGUAUUUUGUUCCUGGAUUCUAAAAACAUCAAAAUUACAAGAAAAUGAGCUAAAUUGACUUACCACUUAAGCUUGAAUCCUUAAAAUCCCUAAUUUUCCUUUUUCUUUUUCUUUCCCUUUUCUUCUCCCAUUUUUCGUUUCAAUUCUGUUUCUUUCUUUUAUUCUUUUUGUUUUGCUUUUAUUAUUUAGUUAUUAUUCUAAUAAUAUUAUAUACUUAAAUAUUAAGUACAUAUACAUUAGUAUUUUAUACAUAUGUACACUAUUUUUCCACAUGUAUUUUACACCUACCAUGCACUUGUAUUCACUUUUUAUUAUACAAGUGUUACAUAUGGUUUAUUUAUUCAUUUAAUCCUUCAAUUUUUCUUUAGUCUGUAUUUCAACUUUUACCCUUUAUUCAAUCUAGUCUUUACACGUAAUUACUCUUAAUUCAAGCUAAUUCACCUAGCCAAAACCUAAUUAACCACACAACUAUCUUUAUAAAUAUUUUUAAUAAAUAUUUACGAAUCCGUUUUACCAAAAUAGUGACCCAAAAAUGCACUUUUCUGAUACCUGUAAAUUUUGGGUUGUUACAUUUCUCCCCUUUAAUAAAUUUCGUCCUCAAAAUUUACCUGAAAAGAGGUGGAUGUACUAAGAUCUCAUAGUUUCUUCCGGUUUCCAAGUUGCUUCCUCAACACUAUGACUUUUCCAUAGUACUGUUACUAAUGGUACUCGUUUAUUAUGUAAGUUUUUCACUUCUCGAGCUAAUAUCUCAAUCGGCUUUUCUUCAUUUGACAAAUCGGGUAGAAUUUCAAUAUCUUCUCUUGAAGUAAUAUGAGAGGAAUCUAAUCUAUAUCUUCUGAGCAUAGAAACAUGAAAAACAUAAUGAAUCUUCUGUAAUUUCGGAAGCAAAGCUAAUCGGUAAGCAACUGGCCCAACUCUUUCUACAAUUUCAUACGGUCCAAUAAAAUUAGACUCAAUUUUCCUUUUUAACCAAAUCUCAGAAUUUUCUUCCAAGGCGAGACCUUAAGAAAUACCUAAUCACUAAUAGAAUACUCAAUGUCUCGACAUUUCAAAUCUGCAUACGAUUUCAUUCUGUUGAAAGCUUUCUUCAAUUUAUCUCGAAUACUCUUAAUAGUGUCCUCUGUUUCUUGAAUUAAAUCUGGCCCAAUCAUCUUUCUUUCAUUCAAUUCCAUCCAAAUUACAUGUAACAGCUCGAUUUUGGGGCUAAUCGGAAUUGUGGUUCUGAGACCACAAAUUUGAAGUUGAAAAAAAUUAUUUUAUUGUUAUUUUAAAGUCAUAGCAUGUUUAUAUUAGUGCAUGAAAAAUUUGAUGAGUUAAUUUUAACGUUUGUGAGCCCAAUUGUGAAAAAGAACUAAAUCGCAUAAAGUGCAAAAGUCUUAAAUUGAUAGCUAAGGGUGUUAAAUUGUUAAGAAUCUAAAUUUGGGGUCUUUAAAGGGCAAAAAGACCCUUAGAUUUUAGCUUGGCCAGCCAUGGGAGAUAAAAAUGUUGGAAAGUCAACAUUAGGUAAUUGGAUGACAUAAUGUGUAAUAAAAUAAUGCCUAAGCCCAACUAUCAUCUUUUCUUUCAUUCUUUCUUAAUUACCACCGAUUUUUCAGCCAUUCUUGGGGGCUUUGAGCUUCAAAAAUUUUAGCAACUUAUUCCUCUUGCAAGUGAUUCACAUGCUUUUUGUUGAUAUUUUUUCAUUUUUGGACUCUUUGAAGCAUGAGCUUUCAAAUGAGGGGACUAUUUUGCAAAAUGGUUGAAAGUUUAGUUUUUUUUCAUGAGAGUAAAUAGGUUGUUUUUUAAAAUUUUAUGGAAGAAUAUUAGUCUUGGUUGUGAAAUAAACAACUUUUGUUAAGGGAUUUCUUAUGAAAACCCUAAUUGGACCAUUUUGUAAAAAUUGGUAAAAUAGAUAGUAAUGUUGUGAAAUAUUGGAAAUUUAGGGUUUUCAUAAGAGAUAUAAAUGGUAGGUUAGGCUUGGAUGAUAAGAAAAUUCGAUAAAAAUUGAUUUUCAGACCUAGGAGUAAAAUGGUCAUUUUGCAAAAGUCUAGGGGCAAAAUGUUCAUUUUUCCCAAAUAUAGAUUUAUUGAAUGCCUAGAAUGAUAAAAUGAUUAAAGGUGUGAAUUUUGUUAUUAUAGAUCAAGAAAUUCAAAAUUCGAACUUAGAACGGGAGAAGGCUCAGCAAAUUGAUUAGACCGACUAGUCGCCAUAUUUUGUAGCCUGAGGUAAGUUGUAUGCAAAUAAUACAAAUACAUUGUCAUUAUAUGUGUUGAAUUGAUUUAGCAUGAAUUGCUUGAUUGUAGAAAUGAGAAUGUAUAAAAACAAUUGAGAUAGUAAUAUUCCUGGUUGAACCAUAAGAAAUAAAUCAGAUAUUCAUGCCAUGACAUAUGGGUUAUUGUGAGCUAGUGUAAGACCAUGUCUGGAACAUGGCAUCGACAUUGAGACGAGAGCUAGUGUAAGACAUGUCUGGGACAUGCAUCGGCCUCGAGAUGUAAGCCAGUGUAAGACAUGUCUAGGACAUGCAUCGGCUACGAGAUGGGCCAGUGUAAGACCAUGUCUGGGACAUGGCAUCGGCAUCCUACCCCAUGUUUGAGGCUUAAUAAAUAUCCGAUAGUGUUCCGAAUGGUUCAACGGUGAGAGUUAUGGUUUAAGAUCAAGAGAAAAGUAUAACCAUGUUAUGAGUAAUACAGGUACUUAUUCGUUAUAUAUAUAAGAUGAGAGUUCAAUAUAUGCUAUAUGAUGGAAAUUGGAUAGUGAUGAGUAAGUUAUCCUUAUGCCUACUUUUGUAUUAAGAGCAUGUUGUUAAAUGGUAAAGUUGUUAUAUAUUUGUAUGCUUCUUACUAAGCUUUAUGCUUACCCCCUCUCUUCUCUAUUUCCUUAUAAUGUCGCCUAAAUAGCUCGGGGAUUUAAUGGACAUCGGAGGCUACGAUCACACUAUCAUCCAGAGCACUCAGUAUAGUUAUAAUCCUUGUUUUGUGUAUGGCAUGCAUAAGACUAGACUUUAAUGUUAUGUGUCAUUGAGAAAUAGCCAAAUAUGAUGGCUUAGGAUGAAUACCUUUAAUUUUGUAUAAGGCCAUUGAUAAUGGUUAAUAUUCAUUUUGAUAUUUAUUAAUUGAAGAUGAUAUUUUCAUGGAUGAGUAAAUUGCACAAAUGAAAUGUUGUCCAUUGUAGCUAUUUUGGCUAUGUGAUUUACCCUUGUGGUGGCAUAGGGUGAUUCUAUGCAGGUUAUGUAUGUAAAGGUGACAAAGAGGCUUGGUAAAUAGCCUCAUUUUGUCUCCACGGGUAGGCACACGACUGUGUGUUUAGGCCGUGUGUGACACACGGCCCACACACGGCCUACCACAUGGACGUGUGAUCCGGUCGUGUGUCCAUUGUACUUAAAAUUUACAAGUCAGUAUGCAUGAUAGCAAACACACGGGCAGAGACACGACCUGUGUCUCAGCCGUGUGAAGGGCACGACUUAGAACACGGGCAUGUGUCUUGGUCGUGUGAGCUUUAAGAAUUGUUAACGUCAGAAACAAAAUGUCUAGGUUUUUGCACACGGGCGUGUCAUGGCCGUGUGAAGGACAAGGGCCAGGGAUACGGACGUGUAUCAGGUCGUGUAAAAACCCUUGUAGGUGUGAAUUUAGAAUUAAUUCCGCACGGGUAGAGGACAUGGGCGUGUCCCUGUAUUGCUUAGGCUGUGUGAGCUACACGGGCCAACAAUACGACCAUGUCGAAUCGGUCACACGGGCGUGUUGCCCUUCCCACACGGGCAUGUGCCAUUGUGUCUAGUAAUAUUUUUUCGAGUCAUGGAAAGAUCUGAAUCAUUCCCGAAUGGUUUUAAAUGAACGCUUGGAGCUUCGUAGGCCUUUGUUAUUGAGUUCUUGAUAAAGAUAAAAAAAUCUUAAAUUUGACCUAAUUUUGGUAACUCAAAAAUGUGAGAAUGUAUGUAUUCAAGUUGGGUAACGCCUCGUAUUUCGUCCCGGCGUGGAGUACAGGUGUAGGGUGUUACAAUACAGGUAUCCGACAUCUAUGACCAUAUAGUGCUACAUACGAGCCAUUUAAAUACUUGAUUGGAAACUAUUAUUGCAUACAAAUUCAACCAAUGGUAAAUAACGUUCCCAACAUGAUUCAAAAUUAAUGACACAAGCUCAAAGCAUAUCUUCUAAAAUUUGAAUAACUUGCUCAGAUUGUCCAUCAGUCUGCGGAUGAAAAACUAUGCUAAAGUUGAGCCGUGUACCAAGAGAAUAAUGUAACUGUCUCCAAAAUCCCGAUGUGAACCGUGGAUCUCAAUCAGAAAUUAUUAACACGGGAAUAUCAUGCAAUCUCAUAAUUUCCCGAAUAUAAAUCUCAGCAAGGUUUUAAAGUGACCAAUUAAUUCUAACUGCUAUAAAAUGAGUUGACUUUGUAAGCCGAUCAACAACUACCCAAUUAGCAUUUUUCUUACUUGCCGAUAACGGUAACCCUGUUACAAAAUCCAUCUUAAUAUAGUCUCAUUUCUAUUUAGGAAUGUUAAUAGGCUGAAGUAGUCCAGUAGGAACAUGAUGUUUUGCCUUUACUUGUUGACAAGUUAAAUAUUUAGCUACAUAUUCAACUAUAUUUCUUUUCAUAACUGGCCACCAAUAAGAUUCCCGUAGAUUACGAUACAUUUUCAUUCCACCCGAAUGCAUUGCAAAAGAACUAUCAUGUGCUUCACAAAGUAUCAACUCUUUCAGUUCAGAAACAGCUGGAACACAAAUCCGAUUAUAAAAUCUCAAACAAUCAUGUUCAUCAAUGCUAAAAUUUUCUAACAUACUAUUCUGAACCAUUCCUCUUUUCUUCAACAACUUGUCAUCUUUUAACUGUGCUAACUUGAUCUGAUCAAACAUCACUAGUUUAACUCUUAAUUCAGCCAAUAAACUUCCAUCAUCACUGAUACUGAAUUGUGCAAACAUUGCUCGUAAUUCAAUUGCUGCUUUUCUACUUAAUGCAUCAACUCUAACAUUAUCCUUUCCAGGAUGACAAUCAAUAACACAAUCAUAAUCUUUUAAAAGUUUUAUCCACUGACGUCUCAAAUUUGACUCCUUUUGAGAUAAAAGAUACUUGAUACUUUUAUGAUCGGUAUAAAUAUAGCAUUUCAAACCAUACAAAUAGUGUCUCUAGAUCUUUAAUGUAAAACUCACGACAGCUAGUUCCAGAUCGUACGUUGGAUAAUUACGUUCAUGAGGUUUUAAUUACCGAGAUGCAUAAGCAAUCACUUUUCCAUCUUGCAUCAAUACACACCCGAGACCAUUCAAAGAAGCGUCACUGUAAAUAACAAAAUCUUUUCCUGACUUUGGCAAUGUCAAAACUGGUGCCUCAGUCAACAUUCGCUUCAACUUCUCAAAACUUUCUUGGCGCUGAUUAUCCAAAACAAAUGGAACAUUCUUUUGCAACAGUUUUUGUCAUCGACAAGGCUAUCUCUGAAAAUCCAUUUACAAGUCUUCGAUAGUAACCAACCAAUCCAAGAAAACUACGUACCUCUGACACAUUUCUCAGUGCUUUCCAUUGAACAAUCACUUCAAUCUUCUUUGGAUCAACUCUAAUUCCAUCUACCGAUACCACAUGUCCUAGAAAUACAACCUCUGACAACCAGAAUUCACAUUUGCUUAACUUUUCAUAUAACUGUUUCUCCCAUAAUAUUUGUAAAACAAUUCUGAAAUGCUGUUAAUAUUCAAAUUCACACUUCGAAUAGACAAAAAUAUCAUCAAUGAAAACCACCACAAAAUGAUUCAGGUACGGUUGAAAAAUACGAUUCAUAAGAUCCAUAAAAGCAGCUGGAGCAUUAGUCAAACCAAAAGGCAUAACUAAGAAUUCAUAAUGACCAUACCUUGUACGGGAUGUUGUCUUUGGUACAUCACUUUCUUUCACCUCUAACUGGUAAUAACCCGAUCUCAAAUCAAUCUUUGAAAACAUAAAAGCUCCUUUCAACUGAUCAAAUAAAUCAUCAAUACGAGAUAGCAGGUGUUGAUUCUUGAUUUUCACCUUAUUCAAUUGCCGAUAAUCAAUACAAAACUGCAUUGAACAGUCUUUCUUUUUAACAAACAGUACUGGAGCUCCCCAAGGUGAAAUACUAGGACAUAUAAAUUCUUGAUCCAGUAAAUCCUGCAACUGUCACCACAUUAUGUGCAUCACCCUCUUCACGUGUCCGCACAACAUAUGCUUUAGCUGGUAUUCUAGCUUCUGAUUGUUGAGUAGCUACAUCACUUCAUCUUCUAGCACCACCUCUGGAAAAUGAACCACUUCUACCUAAUUCUCGACCUCUAAAAGUAGGCAUUAAUCUCUGUGAUGUAACAGGUGCAGCAUUUUCAUUUUUUGGACAAUCUCUAAUGAAAUGCUUAAUAGAUCCAUAACGGAAGCAUCAUCGAGUUAAUUUCCAACAUUCACCUCUAUGCUUCUUCCCGUAAUGUUCACAUUUUGGUAUUUCAAUAUCCCGUGAUGAACCUUGUACACCUCUAGUAGAAACUGUUAUUUGCCUUCCAUGAUCUCUAUCACCUCUAUCUGAUCUAAAACUUGAUCUCUUGUUACCAUGAGAUUCUUUAGAUCUUUUAGGUUGCGGAUUUGAACUAGUAGUUCCAGUACGUUUCCCAAUCAAACAAGUAUUUUCAGGCUUUUUGUCGAGACCCAAUACUUGCUCAACCAUCUUAGCUCUCCCAACUAAAUCUGCAAAUUCUGUAAUUCUAAGAGAUACUAGUUGCACAUGUAAUUCAUCAUAUAAACCCCGUAGAAAUCUUUUACAACUAUCAGUUUCGGUUGGUACAAAUUCAGCUGCAUAUUUACUAAGUCGUGAGAAUUCUCGUUCAUAGCCAACUACUGACAUUUCACCUUGUUUUAGCAUCAAGAAUUGCUAUUUUCUAUCUUCAAUGUAUAAUUCACCUACAUACUUCUUCAGAAAUCCUCUUUGAAAAAAAUCUUAAUUUACCUGUUUCGUCGAUACAUGUCGAGUUACUGAUUCCUACCAGACAUAAGCUUCCCCUUGAAUUAAAGAAACAACACACAAUAAACUUUUUCGGGGAGUACGUUCAAGCUGAUGUAAUUUUCUUUUUGUAGAUUCCAUCCAAUUUUCAGCAAUGGAAGGAUCAAGUCCUUUUAAAUCCAAAAAUUCAGUAGCACCAUACUUACGUAAUUCUUUAAUCAGAGCUCGUCAGGUAGUAGGGGUAAAUGUCGUAACAGUUGCAGUUUCUGCUACUCGUUGAAGAGCAUCAACUAUAAUUCUAAGUAAUUCAGAAUUAUAUCUUUUUCUAGUAUUACCUCUUUCAACACUAGGUGGUUGAUUUCUUACUAGAUUUAUACUCGAUGUUACAGACUCGGUUUUAUCCAUUUCAUAUGAUUCAUCAUCUCUAGUAUACAUUUCUUGAUCAAUAUCAACAAUAAAUUCAUCCGACAUCUUUAACUAUAAAAUAGAAACAAACAAAUAUAUCAGCAUGCAAUCCUGACUCAAUUCGACUCAAUUAUGGAAUGUACCUCUAGACUCAAUUUACGAACUCAAUUUAGUCUGAGAAUUGACUAAACCUGAAUAGCUCUGAUACCACUAAAUGUAACACCUCUUAACCUUUAUCCGUCGCCAAAACAGUGUUACAAGAUAUUAACGAAUAAUUCAGAACAAAUACGAACAAUUAUAUAAUAAUAUAACAUACAUAUCAUAAUGUCCUAACCAAUGUACUAACAUAGGUAUUUUACAAAUACUUACUAACUCAAUUUAUAUAACUUCAUUCAAACCUAACCAAAUUUAAUACUAAAUAUCAAAAUUUUCAUAUAGAAACUUCAUUCAUACUUUAAUAAAAAAUGUCAUUUUAUAACCUUAACAUAACACAGAAUCAUGUUUAAGUAUAUAAAGGGUUAAUACUAUAUUUUAACAUUUUAUACAACCAUUUUUCAAAAUAGCAUACAUAUAACAAUCUAGGUACAUGCCAUUACUAAAAAUAUAUACUUCACCACAAUAACAGCAUGUGUGGUUGAAGCUAAUGGCUAUGCCAUUACAUGCCUAUUAUAAGCCUAUUCUGCAGGCCCACAUAAACUGACGUUUGGUUCAAUGGACUACCAUAUUAUGGGUGUAUUCCAUUCCAGGCUUAAGCAGAGAUUUUUGGGGAUUUCUAUUCCCUUCCCUCUUUACCGUUUAGCCAUUCAUUGCUUGAAGAACCCUAUCUUACCCUUACCAAAUUCUCACCUAAAAAACACUCAAUCGGCAGCCAUUUCACGUACCCUUCGACUCCGGCAUUCCUCCUCUUCAUUUAAGGUCAAGUAAACAUUUUUCCUUUUGCUAUUCCUUUCAUUUUUCUGUCUUCCAUUUUUUUGUUACCCACAAAUUUUUUUUGCCUGUUUUUGUUACUGCUUCCUUCACCAUCAUCUUCUUUAAUCAUCUUAACUUGAACUUUGUCUUUUGCCUUUUCAUUUAUGUUUUAUGGUUAAACGGGUGUGUUCCUUAUAUCUAAGUCUAAUUCAUCGAAAGAAACAAUGGCAGAGCCUUGAAGAAGUACAAUAUCUCGAUGUUCUCACUAAAAUCGGUAAAAAAAUUAGCGUUUCCAAGUCCAGGCACGUCCAUUCAUUUUUGUCCAUUUCUGGAUUAUCUGUUUUUAAUCUUUCAACAUAAAGGAUUACUUUACAACCGGCUCUUUUCUUUAUUUUCUAUACUGUCUGUUGCUUACUCUUAGCAGAAGUCAUGUUUUUAUAGUUAUCAAAUUGGAAAAUAAUAAGACAACUUAAUUUAAGCUAUACUUCUUAUUUGCAGCUUCUGUAAAUUGGGUUUGUUAGAACCUUUGAGAUUAGUUAAUUUGGUUCCUUGAAAAUGGUAUAUUAUAUUUGUUGAUUUCUCCUACAUUUGAUGCUUCUUCAAUUUUGGAUGGAAUUAUAUUUAAGUAUUGUCAUUGAUGUAGAUUAUGGAGUUGUUGGUAUUCACCAUGUUGGAAUUUAUGUGAAAACCUUGAAAGAUCGCUUGAAUUUUAUCAGAAUAUUUUAGGUAUGUAAUCUUUUUUCUAUACUCAUGUUAUAGAUAUUGAUUUAUUUUUGCAAGAAAGAAAGAGAGAAACUGAGCACCUGCUUCUAAAUGUUAAAUUAGACCUUGAAAUAAAUGAGGCUAGGCCACAUGAUAAGCUUCCAUACAGAGGUGCUUGGUUGUGGAUGGGUUCUGAAAUGAUACAUUUGAUGGAACUUCCAAAUCUAGAGCCCUUAAUUAGAAGACCGAAACAUGGAGGCCAAGACUGUCAUGCUUGUAUUUCAAUUCGUGAUGUAUCUAAGCUGAAUGCAAUCCUUGACAAAGCCGGUAAAAUCCGUUUUUUCUUAUUCCAGGGUCAUCCAUGUCAAGCAAUAUCUCAUUGUUUGUUAAUAAUUUGCCUUGAUGGCAGAUUCUCAUAGAAUUCUGUAGGUUAUAAUUCGCCUUGUUUGCUUUCUCAUUGUUUUUUUCUCUGCUUAUUUUUAUUUGAAUAGUUUGUCAAGUUGUUUCUAUGCAUGCACCAAUUACAUCCUGCCUACUAUAUUGUUUAGACUCAAACUUCACUCUUUGCUCUAUUCCAGUAUUAAGGGGAAAGAAACUUUGUAAAAUUUAUUAAUUUUAUGAUAUAUGUUUCUUUUGAUUGAAUGAAUAUAGCAUUUAGGUUUCUUUUAGUAGAUGCAAACUGUAGAUGCAAAAUUGUUGUUGCUAAAUACUUUGAUGGGUGCUUCUUUAUCCAACUUAAGGAUUCACCUUAUGUUCAAUGUGUUUCUUCUCAUUGCUUUACUUUAUUAAAUGUCUAUUGGUGUUAGUUUUAUAAUGAGAGGAGAAAAAACUGACAUUACUAUUGUCACUUUCAUUUAUGGAGAAGGUUUUUGAAAGAAUGUUCCCAUGUGUGCAAAUGUUUAUUUAAAGGGGUAUAAUGCUGCUUUGAAGAAGGAAAUUCCUAUACUUUCACUUUCUUCUUGCCACUUCAAAUUGGUUGCAAAUGAUAAGGCUAUUGGGAAUGGGCUUGAAAUGCUUGAUGGUCAUAAAACUCAUAGGUCACAAAACUCACACCCAAUAUCUGGUUCAGGAACCGCAAAGUCGACAAGUCAAUGCAUAUGAACUUUCAGUUUGGUAAUUUUUUGUGUUUGUAAUAUUUGGAUGGUAUAAUGACGUGAUAGAAUGUCAUUACAAUGUUGUAAAUUUUUUAUGUUGUGGAUUAUGACAUAUAAACUAAUGAAAUCAUGUAACUUUUUGUUAAUAUAUAAAUAUUAUAAUUUUCAAGUUAUUUAUUACUUCUAAAAUUUUAUUUUUUUAUUGUAGAAUAAUUAAAUUAUUUGUUACAUUAAUGAUAUUUUAGCACAUUAAAUAUGUAUUGCAGUUUAAAAAUAAUAAAGUAGAUUAUAUAUUAUUUUUAUAGUAUUAUAUAAUAUGUUUUUUUAAUUCAUAUAAUAAUAAUUAUAUUAAGAAUUUUAUUAAAUUAUAUAUUAUUUUAUUAAAUUAUAUUUAAUAAUAAUUAAGUUAAAAUAUGGUUAAAUUAUUUAUUUUUUUAUUAAAUUAUUUUAAUAAUAAUUUUAUUAAAAUUUAAUAACAAUAACAAUAAUCAUCUACCUAAAAAAAUUCUGCUAAGGGUAUUCUGGUCAUUUUAGUUUUUUUCCUUAUGCUAUUACAGCAUCAUUCUAUUCAACUAAACACAAGAAUACUAUUACAGUUCUCUUCCAUUCCAUUCAACCAAACAAUUGAAUUACUAAUUAUAGCUCUAUUCAAUUAUAGCUUUAUUCAAUUACAGCCCUAUUCCAUUACAGUGAACCAAACGUACCCUAAGUUCAGGAUCGGCUUUGGAUGCUGAUUCAACGAUCGAACUUUAACUUAUCCUGCGUACGGAAAACAAGCCGUACGCUGAGUAUACACUCAGUGGUAUUACUAUAAUCUGAAUACUUAUUAAAUAAGAAUUUUCAAUAUUUAUAUAUCUAAACACGCAUAACAAAAAUCAUUCAACAAAUAAUCAAUUUCAUAACACAUCAUUUAUAACACUUUCAAUUCUCAUCUUUUACUAUUUUAAUCUCAUAAUUGAUAUUCAAAUAAUUUUUCUCAAUAGGAUACACAUAUCAUUUCACCAUAUCAAUAACCAUUUCAUGAACCCAUUAGUUUAUACAUUUCAAUUUCAUAACUCAAUUUAAUAUUUCAAUCCAAUUCAUGUUCAAAAUCAUCAAAUGUCAUUCAUGUUGUCAAUUUACUUAUUUACCCCUAUUAACAGGACUAGGACUUUGGCGGAUACACGGAUCCAACCAAAACACACAAGUAUGGCACCCAGUGCCUCAUUGGAUAAUUCGAAGUAAUAGAUUGACACCCAGUGUCUCAUCGGCCAUGCCGAAGUAAAUUGGUACCCAAUACCUUAUCGAAUUUAUCUGAAGCAAUAGUUUGACACUCAGUUUCUCAUCGACACGUGGUCGAAGUAAUCCCUGAACACUUCCAAUCCUAUGGCAUGCCAACUAUAUCCGACUCAGUCCGAUACAGUUAAUAGGAUUUUCAAUUCAUUUUCCAAAUACAACUAAUAUUCAAUAUUAAAUUGUCACAAAAUUCACAUAAAUCUCAAUUCAAUAUUUUCACAUUUCAACAACAAUCAAUAAUUUCAUCAAUCAUAAAUUCUUAUAAUCUCAUUUCAAUAUUAAGAUAAUAACAAACAACAUUCACCUUAAUUACUCACCAUACACAUUAAUUUAAAAUACAACAAAUAAAAAUUAUUAAAUUCGAAUUAUAGAAAUACAAACCGUAAUUUCCAAAUUACUCAUCUUUAACCUUGUCUUUUCCUUUCUUAGCCGAGGUCUCUGACUCAACGUUAGUUACGGAAUUUAAAAUAAUUUUAAAAUCAUCAAUACAACAAAUUUUAACAUUAAAUAUUUGAAUUUAUACACAACUUUUGUCUAAAUUUCAAUUUUGUCCUUAAAUUAAAUCUAACCUUGUUUUCCCUACAAUUUUAUUCUUUAUUUUCAUUCAACUACCACUUAAAACUAAAUUUAACUCUCUAAUUUUCACCAUAAAUCCCUAAUUUUGAUUUUUUUUUCAAUUUAAUCGCUACUACUUAAAACUUAUGAUUUAUUUUACAACUCAAUCAUUUUCUCAAUUUUAAGUUGAAAUUCUAUCAAUUUAACCCCUAAUUCUUCAGUUAAUUCAACAUGAACUACAUUUAAAACUCCACUAACUUUCAAAUUUUCAACAUAAAUCAAGUAGUAUUUUGUUCUAAGAUUCUAAAAAUAUCAAAAUUACAAGAAAAGGGACUAAAUUAACAUACCACUUAAGCUUGAAGCCUUAAAAACCCUAAUUUUCCUUUUUCUUUUUCUUUCCCGUUUCUUUUCCCCUGUUUCGUUUCAAUUCUGUUUCUUUCUUUCAUUCUUUUUGUUUUGUUUAUAUUAUUUAGUUAUUAUUAUAAUAAUAUAUUAUUAUCUUAUAUACUUAAAUAUUAAGUAUAUAUAUAUUAGUAUUUUAUAUAUAUGUACACUAUUUUUUCACAUGUAUUUUACACCUACCAUACACUUGUAUUCACUUUUUAUUAUACAAGUGUUACAUAUGGUUUAUUUAUUUAUUUAAUCCUUCAAAUUUUCUUUAGUCUAUAAUUCAACUUUUACUCUUUUUUCAAUCUAGUUCUUAUACCUAAUUACUCUUAAUUCAAGCUAAUUCACCUAGACAAAAUCUAAUUAACCAUACAACUAACUUCGUAAAUAUUUUUAAUAAAUAUUUACGAAUCUGUUUUACCAAAACAGUGACCAAAAAAUGCACUUUUUCAAUACCCGUAAAUUUUGGGUUGUUGCACCCUCCCGCUUUCCCCCCAAAACUUUUUCUCCCCUCCCAUCUCACCCCUCAUCUACCCCAAACCCAUUUUCUCCCCAAAUUUUACUACCCAACCCUCAAAAUUUUUUAUUUUCCCCCCAAACUCUUACUUUUCACCCUUUACCCUCAAAUUAAAAAUCAUCCAAAACAAUCCCUAAACCUAUAUAGUAAUAAUUUUAUUAUAUAUAUUAUUUAUAUUAUUAAAAGAAAUUUUAUUUUUUACUAUUUAUAAAAUUUUAUGUUGGUAUCAAUUUCACAUUUUAUCUUUAAGAUAAUUUUUAAUAAAAAACCACAUUUUUUUUAUCUUUAAUAUAUUUUUUAAUUUCAAAAUACAUAGUAACAAAAAUCAGAAGAUAAUUGAAGCAACUAAGCAAGCAAAAAAACUAACCCAUAUAUAAAAGAUUAAUAAAUAAAUUAUGAGGAGAUGAAAGUUAAUAACAAAUUUGAUUACAGUAGGUGAUAGUAGUUAAAAAGAUCCAAAGUCAUUUUUUUAAAAUUUAACUUUAACAAAUAUAUUCGAUUUGAUUCAAAUUCCAUCUCACUCGAAUCAAUUCGAAAAAAUUUCAAAUCAAAUUAAAAUGAUAAAAUAAGAUUCAUGAACUUAAAUUUUUUUUUGUUCGAUUCGAUCCAACAUCCACCCUUAAAUAAAACAUAACUCAUUCCACCACUUUAUCUAUAUAGGCCAUGGCCUGAGUGUAAAUGUUGUGUAACAUAUGGUUUUAAAUAUCCCUAUUAAUAAUGUUAAAAAUGUAAUUAUUUAAAUUAAAACUAUCCACUUUACCUAUAACUUUCUAAUUUUAUAAACAAAUUAAAUAAAAUUUUUACUUUAAAAUUUAUUGCAAAUUAUGAAAUAUCAAUAAUCCUUUGAAAGAAUUACUUUUAAAAGUAAAUAAUAUAUCUAUUCAUUGAAUUUUAAAGUUAUUUUUAAGUCACUUUAAAAUUAAUUAAUUAAUUAAUUAACUAUUUCUAUUAUCUUCAAUAAUAUUACUUAAAAAUUAAUUUUUAUCCUUACAUUUUGACCAACAUGAGAAUAAUGGAUGUAUGGAGUAUGUGUCCUCUAAAAUUGUAAAAUUUUAAUUUACAUCUUUUAUCAUUUUUAAAAUUUUAUAUUAGUAAUAGUAAAAUUACAUUUUAGUCCUCCCAAAAUAAUAAAAAUUUAAUUUAAUCCUUUAAAGUUUAUAAAGAUAUAUGCUAUUAAAAUGAUAAAAUUAUAUGUUUACUAUUAUAAAAAUAUACAAUUUAAUUCUGUCUCCCAAAAAAUUUCAGGCUGCGCCAUUGAUUUUAAACGUCAUAGAUACAAAAAUAGUAAUUAAAAAUUUGUUAGUUUCAUAUUCAUUAAUUUUUGAGGGAUAAAACAACCUUUAAUCUUUGAACUUGAUAAUUCUUUUUAUUUUAACUUUUAAAUUUUUUGGUUUGCAUUAGUCCUAAAGCUUGACAAAUUUUCUUAAUUUGGUCCCUCAACUUAAAUUCCGUAAUGCUGUGAUGAUUUAACAUUGAGAUUGUAUUAUAUCAUCCUCCAUUAAAUAAAUAAAUAAAAUUUAAAAAAUAUAAAAAAAUAUUUUUUAUAAAAAUUAGAUAAUAACAUGAUACAAUCUCAUAACAUCAAAUCAGCUAAUCUCAACAAAAUCUAAAUUCAUGAAUGAAAUUAAGAAAAAUAACUAAAUAUAUAAUUAUUUAAUAGUAAAUAACUUAUUGUUUUAAACACAUCAUUUUUUAAACGUGGAACCUUUAAAAAGAAAAAUACAUUACUUUGUAGUUUUAAUUAUUGCUACACCUAUCAUUAGUUCACCACCUUGCGACCCUACGAUUUUGUUGACUCGAAAAACCCAUGUGAGUUGACACCAUUAACUAAGGGUGGUAUCAACUUAGUUGGAUUGGAUAUUUUAAUAUUUUUUGAAUUAUCCAUUAUAAUGUAGUUAAAUUUUUAGCUUUUCAUAUUAAUUUUUAUUUUUUGAUUUAUUUUGAAAAAAUAAGUUUUAUUUUAUAAUUUUUUAAUAUUAUUUGAUAAAUUUUUUAAGGUUUUCUAUAAAUAUUUUUAAAAAUUAUUAAUUUUUCAAAAAAAUUUAAAUUAUUUUACUAUUUUAAAUAUAAAAUAUUAUCUUUAUAUUAUAUAAAAUUAAAAUUAAUUAUAUAUUAAAUAAAAAUAAAAUUCAGUUCAAUUUCUAGUAACCGUGAUUUUUAAACUUGUAUUCUAUAACUUGAUCAAACAUCUCGAUUUGGGUUGGUUUCUGACUUUUCUUGCUCGGCCCUACCAAUAGGAAAUAUGAAAAUGGCACUUUAACUCUUUUAAAUCUUAUAAAAUUAUAAGUUAAUAAACAGUUAAAUUACACUUUGGCUUAAAAUAAUAAAAAUUUAAUUUAAUUUUUUAAAAAUUAUAAUAAAUAUAAGUUAAUAUAAUUUUAAAACAUAAAAAUUCGUAACUCAAUUUCUCCCCAAAAAAUAGCUUCGCCCCUGCACUUAUUGCUCUCCGCCGAGUGAAUUAUCUUCAACUGCCAUAUCUUCUUACGUGUAUUAAUAAUUAUUAUUUAUCUUUCUCUUAGGAUUCUACUUUAAAAAAAAAAAAACAUUAGUUCUGUAAUUUAUUAACUUAAAAAAUUUUGUCUUUCGAAAAAAAUUACUUUUUUUCAGCACUCAUCUUCAUUAAAUGUUUAAUGUUCUUGUUAUACACCUACCCACAUUUAACUUGAUAGCAUGAAAUGCGAUCUAAGAAGUACUCUCGAAUGAUCCCUCAAUUAGUACCACCCAGCUCAUCAUCCUAUGACCAGCCAUCCGCACGUUUAGCAUCUCCAUUACACCACUCCUUUUUAGUGACAAAGGGAACCAUUAAGAGACUAUUGAAACAUAAUAAUCUUAUACUACUUCAGAAGGGAAUGUUAAAGCAAACCUCAUUGAUGACAACUAACUUAUAAGAUACCUACCAACCU